GUCGAACGGAGUUGAGGAGGCUUGCUCCUCAACUUAGUGGCGGACGGGUGAGUAACGCGUGAGUAACCUGCCUCUGGAGAGGGGGAAUAACGUUACUGAAAAGAACGCUAAUACCGCAUGACACAUAUUUGCCGCAUGACAGAUAUGUCAAAGAUUUUUAUCGCUCAGAGAUGGACUCGCGUCCGAUUAGUUAGUUGGUCGAGGUAACGGCUCACCAAGACCGCGAUCGGUAGCCGGACUGAGAGGUUGAACGGCCACAUUGGGACUGAGACACGGCCCAGACUCCUACGGGAGGCAGCAGUGGGGGAUAUUGCGCAAUGGGGGCAAACCCCUGACGCAGCAACGCCGCGUGAAGGAUGAAGGUUUUCGGAUUGUAAACUUCUUUUCUCAGGGACGAAAUUUGACGGUACCUGAGGAAUAAGCUCCGGCUAACUACGUGCCAGCCGCCGC
This 450-nucleotide ribosomal RNA is filed under the name uncultured bacterium. RNAcentral's name for it is "bacterial SSU rRNA". It matches the Rfam family "Bacterial small subunit ribosomal RNA", at positions 61 to 518 of the family's 1533-position model. The record is from RNAcentral.